GGUGGCCAUUUUAUUUUAUUAGAGGAGUUUGUAGUGUAAUCGAUGACCCCCGUUAAAUUUUACUUUAAUUUAGUUUAUAUACCGCCGUUUAGAUAUUUUUUAUAGAAUUUUUCUAUUUAAAUUAAUGUUCGAAAAAUCAGGUCAAGGUGUAGCGUAUAUUAAAGUAUUAGUGAACUACUAUUGAAAUAUAAAUGGAUUAAAUACUUAAAAGUAUUUAUAAAACAGGAUUUAAAAGAAAUAAAAAUAGGUUUAUUUGAAGAGAUUUAAAAACACACAUCGCCCGUCGCUCUU
Molecule: ribosomal RNA, 291 nt
Filed under: Songthela hangzhouensis
Lineage: Eukaryota; Metazoa; Arthropoda; Arachnida; Araneae; Liphistiidae
Description: partial 12S ribosomal RNA
Source: RNAcentral